Molecule: long non-coding RNA, 236 nt
Filed under: Rosa chinensis
Lineage: Eukaryota; Viridiplantae; Streptophyta; Magnoliopsida; Rosales; Rosaceae
Description: sRNA RchiOBHm_Chr5g0034551
Source: RNAcentral
ACGCUCCUCCACGCGCUACCUACAGUGGCGGGGCGUGGGGACCACGCGCCGGCGGCGACCUCCUCCGAUGACCACCAAACUCCGGCACUAGCAUCUACACAACAAGCCCAAACAACUUCCAAACUACAACAUCAUCCAAUUUUACCUCGAAGUGGCCGAAUCAAGCCGGUGAAGGAAAGCCCCGAAGCUUCAAGAACCCUAGAAAUGAAAAAUUGUCAAUUCGACUUCUACAAUAC